This 253-nucleotide ribosomal RNA is filed under the name uncultured bacterium. Its description in RNAcentral is "partial 16S ribosomal RNA". It matches the Rfam family "Bacterial small subunit ribosomal RNA", at positions 524 to 776 of the family's 1533-position model. The record is from RNAcentral.
UACGUAUGGUGCAAGCGUUAUCCGGAUUUACUGGGCGUAAAGGGAGCGCAGGCGGCGCGUCAAGUCUGAUGUGAAACCCCGGGGCUCAACCCCGGGCAUGCAUUGGAAACUGGCGGGCUGGAGUGCCGGAGAGGUAAGCGGAAUUCCUAGUGUAGCGGUGAAAUGCGUAGAUAUUAGGAGGAACACCAGUGGCGAAGGCGGCUUACUGGACGGCAACUGACGCUGAGGCUCGAAAGCGUGGGGAGCAAACAGG